Molecule: long non-coding RNA, 1293 nt
Filed under: Homo sapiens (human)
Lineage: Eukaryota; Metazoa; Chordata; Mammalia; Primates; Hominidae
Description: HSALNT0389026
Source: RNAcentral
GGGAAUAAACGCAGGCCACCCGAGCCAGCAACGGCAGACCUGCUGGGGUUCCCUUCCAUGCUGUGGAAGCCUUCUUCUUUCCCUCUUUGCCAUAAAUUUUGCUGCUGCUCACUCUUUGGGUCUGUGCUACCUUUGUGACCUGUAACACUCCCUGUGAAGGUGUGCAGCUUCAUUUCUGAGACCAGCGAGACCAGGAACCCACCGGGAGGGACGAACAACUCCAGAUGUGCAGCUUUAGGAGCUGUAACACUGACCGCCAAGCACUGCUGGGUUGAGGUCUCCACGACCGAGCUGGCCUUGGUAAGUGGCGCCCAAAUGUGGGGCUCGAACCUGGGUCGAAGUGCUGCCGGAGCAACGGUUGGAGAAUGUGGACCUACACUGGAGGACACCCGAGUACUCUUAAGCAAUCCCUGUGAGGACACUGGACGAAAAGCAGUUGCCCAAGUGACUAUUCGAGCAGCGCCUCGAGUGACCACUCUCAGUUCUAUUCAGGCAGGAAUCCAGCAAGCUAGACGAGAGGGUGAUAUGAAUGCUUGGCAGUUCCCUGUUAGAACACACCCACCUGAUCAACAGGGGAAUAUUAUAGCUACAUUUGAGCCUUUUCCUUUUAAAGUACUUAAAUAAUUUAAACAAGCUAGUAAUCAAUAUGGACCAGUUUCUCCUUUUGUGAUGUGACAGUUAAAGAAUGUUGCUGUCUCCAGUGGGAUGAUUUCUACUGACUGGGAUGCUUUUACUCGAGCUUGCCUGACUCUGCUCAGUUCUUACGAUUUAAAACUUGGUGGGCAGAUGAAGCUUCCAUUCAGGCUGCUUGCAACGCCCAGGCCCAACCUCAAAUUAAUAUAACUGCAGACCAACUUUUGGGGGUCGGCAGCUGGGUUGGUUUAGAUGCAUAAGUGGUAAUGCAGGAUGAUGCCAUAGAGCAGCUUAGAGGAGUGUGCAUUAGAGCAUGGGAAAAAUCACUUCAGGAGGAGAACAAUACCCUUCCUUUAGUGCUAUAAAAUAGGGACCAAAAGAACCAUAUGCAGAUUUUAUAGUUCGGUUACAGGAGUCUCUUAAAAAGGUGAUUGCAGAUUCGGCUGCUCAGGAUAUAGUGUUGCGGUUACUAGCUUUCAACAAUGCCAAUCCUGAGUGCCAAGCCGCUCUGCGACCUAUUAGAGGGAAAGCACAUUUAGUUGAUUAUAUUAAGGCCUGUGACAGUAUUGGAGGUAGUCUGCAUAAAGCUACUUUGUUGGCACAAGCUAUGGCAGAACUGAGAGUGGGUAAAGGAAAUACUGUGUUUCCUGGAGCUUGUUU